This 1174-nucleotide long non-coding RNA is filed under the name Malus domestica (apple). RNAcentral's name for it is "long non-coding RNA (MDOM_LNC006708)". The record is from RNAcentral. Lineage: Eukaryota; Viridiplantae; Streptophyta; Magnoliopsida; Rosales; Rosaceae.
UUUCCAUUCAUCUCUUUCACUUUACCUUUCAGCUCUCCAUUUUUUGCUUUCCUCAACUGGGUUUUCCUUCGUCGUCGGUGUGCGCUCUGAUUUCUCUCAAUUUAUUCCUUUUCGUUUUGCGAAAUUAUGUCCGGCGAGACAUGAUCUUUGAUUUUUGCAACCAUUGUUGGCCGUUAUUCUCUGUUUUUGGCUGCCAUCCGUAGUUUGGAUCGAUUUCGUCUUUUUCACCGUUUUGUUUCAAGCCUCUCUUUUGAGAGAAUUUUUACGUAUUAAGGUUAGUGAUUUCUAAACUUAAGUUUUGCUUUGCAGUUUGAUUUCAUUUUUGGUUGUCUUGCCCAAAUGUUAGAAGCUUUUAAUUUUUUUGGGUUCAAUUUUAAAUGGGUUGUUGCUUUCGGAGUUUUCGUUUGAUGACAGAGAUGGGGGUUUUUGGGGAAAAACUUUUAAUCCGUGAGUUUUAGUUAAGUUGUGUUGUGGGUCCUGACAAAUGGAUUUUUUGUUGAAAUUGUUUUUCUUCUCAUUUUUGGUUUUUUUUAUUUUUUUUAUUUUUAUUUUUUUGUGCCAUCGGGUUUUUGCAUGUGGGUGUAUAAUCAGGUUUUCUUCUGAAUUUCAGGGGAUUCAGGUUUUUAUUUUUUUUGGAACUUUUGUAUGCAGCUUUGGAAGACAUUUACGCUUAAGGUGAGAAACUUUGGUUGCCCGCUUUUGGGUUUUGUUGUAGAAUUAAGUUUUUUUUUAUUUUUUAAAGAGUUACAUUCGUGGGAAUUCAUUUAUUCUUCUUUUUUUCUGCAUCUGGAAAAUGCAACCUGAUGUGAGUUAUAGUCAUAAGUGCAAACAAGAAAAAGUUAUAGUCUUAAGUGCAAGAAAUAUAAAGCCAAAAGAACCUAGCAACAAUAUCAUACCUUAUUUUUCAAUUUACUUAUAAGGUUUCACAUUUUUGUAAAUAUCAAGAACAAAAACCUAGAACAGCCUCACAAUUUGGUGCACUGACUAGGAAAUUGACAGUUGGGUAUAGGUAUGGGUAGUUAAAAACUAUGAGACAUGAGAAUUAUUGUCAAAUGCAAGGACAGAAGGUCGUGUAUUUGCAAAGUUGAAGCGGCCCAAGGACCGAGUGGGUUUAAGGUUUAAUGCUCAGUAGUUGUUGUGCUUCUGCUGCUUUUUAGUUGUCGAGGAUAUGCAG